AUCUCAUUUCAGCUGUAGCGAAAGUGUAGAGCAAUCUUCAGUCGACCGACCCAAAUGAGAGGAAUCAUCGGCAGAACCCUGUCCAACCCUAACAAUCAAUACCUUGCAUCUCUUACCAAACGCACCCCUUUUCUCCUCCAAUCCUCCCCCUUCUCCGCUUCCUCCAGCUCCGGCGACGGUCGUGGCCGUGGCCGAGGCCGUGCUGGAGGAAACUCUCCUUUUGGUGGGUUCACUCCAGCCACAGGAAGACCCAACUCAGAGAACAAAAGGCCCGACUCAACUGAAUCACCUUCCGUCGGAUUAGGCCACGGACAUGGAAGAGGAACGCCCUUAUCCUCCGAAUCCAAACUCCCCACUUUCUCUUCUCCCGUUUCCCAAUAUGGAUCCGGUCGAGGCCGAGGCACCAAUGAGCCAGUGCCGCCGAUGCCUCCGCCUCCAAGGCAAUCAAAACUGCCGAUCUUUAUCAUGAAACAAGAUGAAAUCGAAGCUGAUUCCUCGGCCACGCCAGCCAACGAGUCCGUUCAGUCGAUGGAGCCAACACUUCCAUCUAGUAUACCCUCAGUUGCAUCAUUAUCGGGUGCUGGAAGGGGCAAGCAUGCGAAGCAACCGGAGCCUGCCUUGCAGAUGAAGGAAGAAAAUAGGCAUAUCCGAGCGAAGCAGGAGCAACAGCAACAACAACAGCAACGGCAACAACCUUCUCCAUUGCCGCAGAUGAGCAAGGAAGAAGCGGUAAAGAAAGCAAGGGAGAUUCUUUCAAGAAGUGAGGGCGAUAAAAGGGAGGAUAUGGGUAUGAGUGGAGGUAGAGGAAGAGGAAGAGGUAGGCAGUCGGACAGGGGUAGGGGAGAGGAAGAGGGAGGGGAGGUUACACAAGGAAAGAGGACGAAGAUGCUAAAGAGCUUGAAGAUGAUCUUUAUUUAGGGGAUAAUGCGAAUGGGAGAAAUUGGCCGAAACUAUUGGAGCCGAAAAUAUGGCUAAGUUGGUUGAAGGUUUGAAGAGCUUUCCAAUAGAGUCAUGCCUUCUCCUCUGGAUGAUGCUUACUUGGAAGCGAUGCAUACCAACUUAAUGAUAGAGUUUGAACCUGAAUAUUUGAUGGCAGAUUUUGAGACUAACCCGGAUAUUGACGAGAAACCACCUAUGUCUCUUAGAGAUGCACUUGAGAAGGUGAAGCCUUUCCUCAUGUCAUAUGAAGGAAUUCAAAAUCAAGAAGAGUGGGAGGAAGCCAUCAAAGAAACAAUGGACAAUGUACCUCUACUGCAAGAGAUCAUUGAUCACUACAGUGGCCCUGAUAGAGUAACUGCAAAGAAACAGCAAGAAGUUGGAAAGAGUUGCAAAAACACUUCCCAAGAGUGCACCUGCUUCUGUAAAGAACUUUGCAAACCGUGCAGUUCUUUCUCUUCAGAGUAACCCUGGUGGGAUUCGACAAAAAAUGCCAAUUCAUGGAUAAGCUUGUGUGGGAGGUCUCUCAACAAUACAAAUAAAGGUAGAAGGCUUGGUUUAUUUUAGUCGAGAUGAUACCAAGUAACUAUGGCCUCAUGAUUCUUCAGAUUCCAUUCACCAAAACCUUUAUCUUUUGGGAGGGAGGGGACUGGGGGAUAUAUGAACAUAGUUUCAGUGGAAAGAGAUUUUUUUUACUUAGUAUUUGAUUCCUUUAGAGCAACAACUGCCAUAGAUUUAUAUGCUAGUUAAUUUUUCAGCAUUGGUGAAUAAGCAUUACUUUGAGAGGCCAAAGUACUGAAGUUUGUUGUGUUUUACUGGAAAAUGUUCAAAGUAUUUUUGCUACCUUUGUUGUGUGAUGCAUUGUAUCCAGCCCUGAUAUGUUAUGCUACGAUUGUCUGAUUCAGUUCCAAACUUCCAAUCCAUUUUGACC
Hibiscus syriacus is the source of this 1867-nucleotide RNA transcript. RefSeq lists it as uncharacterized. NCBI's taxonomy places the organism in Eukaryota, Viridiplantae, Streptophyta, Magnoliopsida, Malvales, Malvaceae. The transcript is spliced from 4 exons. The record is from RefSeq and is a predicted model, not a curated record.